RNAcentral lists this ribosomal RNA (256 nucleotides) under uncultured Streptomyces sp. RNAcentral's name for it is "partial 16S ribosomal RNA". It matches the Rfam family "Bacterial small subunit ribosomal RNA", at positions 256 to 524 of the family's 1533-position model. Lineage: Bacteria; Bacillati; Actinomycetota; Actinomycetes; Kitasatosporales; Streptomycetaceae. The record is from RNAcentral.
UGGAGUGUGACUCCCAGGCGACGACGGGUAGCCGGCCUGAGAGGGCGACCGGCCACACUGGGACUGAGACACGGCCCAGACUCCUACGGGAGGCAGCAGUGGGGAAUAUUGCACAAUGGGCGAAAGCCUGAUGCAGCGACGCCGCGUGAGGGAUGACGGCCUUCGGGUUGUAAACCUCUUUCAGCAGGGAAGAAGCGAAAGUGACGGUACCUGCAGAAGAAGCGCCGGCUAACUACGUGCCAGCAGCCGCGGCCGA